This 425-nucleotide ribosomal RNA is filed under the name uncultured bacterium. Its description in RNAcentral is "bacterial SSU rRNA". It matches the Rfam family "Bacterial small subunit ribosomal RNA", at positions 355 to 773 of the family's 1533-position model. The record is from RNAcentral.
UCGAGAAUUUUUCACAAUGGGCGAAAGCCUGAUGGAGCGACGCCGCGUGGGGGAUGAAUGGCUUCGGCCCGUAAACCCCUGUCAUUUGCGAACAAACCUUGUCAUUUAAAAGAUGACGAGCUGAUUGUAGCGAAAGAGGAAGGGACGGCUAACUCUGUGCCAGCAGCCGCGGUAAUACAGAGGUCCCAAGCGUUGUUCGGAUUCACUGGGCGUAAAGGGUGCGUAGGUGGUCGGGUAAGUCUGAUGUGAAAUCUCCGAGCUUAACUCGGAAACUGCAUCGGAUACUAUUCGGCUUGAGGGUUGGAGGGGGGACUGGAAUACUUGGUGUAGCAGUGAAAUGCGUAGAUAUCAAGUGGAACACCAGUGGCGAAGGCGAGUCCCUGGACAACUCCUGACACUGAGGCACGAAAGCUAGGGGAGCAAAC